RNAcentral lists this transfer RNA (73 nucleotides) under Exocentrus adspersus. Its description in RNAcentral is "tRNA-OTHER". It matches the Rfam family "tRNA". Rfam says of the family: Transfer RNA (tRNA) molecules are approximately 80 nucleotides in length. Their secondary structure includes four short double-helical elements and three loops (D, anti-codon, and T loops). The record is from RNAcentral. Lineage: Eukaryota; Metazoa; Arthropoda; Insecta; Coleoptera; Cerambycidae.
GGCUCGUUAGCUCAGUGGUUAGAGCACCACACUCACCAAGUGGCGGUCGUAGGUUCGAAUCCUGCACGAGCCC